This 253-nucleotide ribosomal RNA is filed under the name uncultured bacterium. RNAcentral's name for it is "partial 16S ribosomal RNA". It matches the Rfam family "Bacterial small subunit ribosomal RNA", at positions 524 to 776 of the family's 1533-position model. The record is from RNAcentral.
UACGUAGGGUGCAAGCGUUAUCCGGAAUUAUUGGGCGUAAAGAGCUCGUAGGCGGUCUGUCGCGUCUGCUGUGAAAUCUGGGGGCUCAACCCCCAGCCUGCAGUGGGUACGGGCAGACUAGAGUGCGGUAGGGGAGAUUGGAACUCCUGGUGUAGUGGUGGAAUGCGCAGAUAUCAGGAAGAACACCGAUGGCGAAGGCAGAUCUCUGGGCCGUAACUGACGCUGAGGAGCGAAAGCAUGGGGAGCGAACAGG